CUACGGGCUGCUGCAGUGAGGAAUAUUGCACAAUGGGGGGAACCCUGAUGCAGCAACGCCGCGUGGAGGAUGACGCAUUUCGGUGUGUAAACUCCUUUUAUAUGUCAAGAAAAUGACGGUAGCAUAUGAAUAAGCACCGGCUAACUCCGUGCCAGCAGCCGCGGUAAUACGGGGGGUGCAAGCGUUACUCGGAAUCACUGGGGUAAAGGACGCGUAGGCGGGUUGGAAAGUCAGGUGUGAAAUCCUACAGCUUAACUGUAGAACUGCACUUGAAACUUCUAAUCUAGAGUAUGGGAGGGGGAGAUGGAAUUAGUGGUGUAGGGGUAAAAUCCGUAGAUAUCACUAGGAAUACCUAAAGCGAAGGCGAUCUCCUGGAACAUUACUGACGCUAAGGCGUGAAAGCGUGGGGAGCAAACAGGAUUAGAUACCCUUGUAGUC
Molecule: ribosomal RNA, 438 nt
Filed under: uncultured bacterium
Lineage: Bacteria
Description: partial 16S ribosomal RNA
Rfam family: Bacterial small subunit ribosomal RNA
Source: RNAcentral